GUUCCUUCGGGAAUGAGUACAGCGGCGAACGGGUGAGUAACACGUAGGUAACCUACCCCUAAGUCUGGGACAACCUGCCGAAAGGUGGGCUAAUACCGGAUAAGACCACAGCACUUACGGGUGUAGCGGUAAAAGGUGGCCUCUCCAUGGAAGCUAUCACUAAGGGAUGGGCCUGCGCACCAUUAGUUUGUUGGUGAGGUAACGGCUCACCAAGGCUACGAUGGUUAGCUGAUCUGAGAGGAUGAUCAGCCACACUGGAACUGAAACACGGUCCAGACUUCUACGGAAGGCAGCAGUGGGGAAUAUUGCGCAAUGAGGGAAACCUUGACGCAGCAACGCCGCGUGAGUGAUGACGGCCUUCGGGUUGUAAAGCUCUGCCGAAAGGGACGAAUCCAUCCCGGUCUAAUAUAUCGGGGUGCUGACGGUACCUUUAAAGGAAGCACCGGCUAACUCCGUGCCAGCAGCCGCGGUAAUACGGAGGGUGCAAGCGUUGUUCGGAACUACUGGGCGUAAAGCGCGUGUAGGCGGCCUUUUAUGUCGGGUGUGAAAUCCCUGGGCCCAACCCUGGACGUGCGCUCGAAACUGAAAGGCUUGAGUACGAGAGAGGGAGACGGAAUUCCCAGUGUAGAGGUGAAAUUCGUAGAUAUUGGGAAGAACACCGGUGGCGAAAGCGGUUUCCUGGCUCUGUACUGACGCUGAGACGCGAAAGCGUGGGGAGCAAACAGGAUUAGAUACCCUGGUAGUCCACGCCGUAAACGAUGGAUACUAGUUGCUGGGAGCUUUAUAACUUUCAGUGACGACGCUAACGCAUUAAGUAUCCCGCCUGGGGAGUACGGCCGCAAGGUUAAAACUCAAAGGAAUUGACGGG
RNAcentral lists this ribosomal RNA (868 nucleotides) under uncultured bacterium. Its description in RNAcentral is "bacterial SSU rRNA". It matches the Rfam family "Bacterial small subunit ribosomal RNA", at positions 74 to 917 of the family's 1533-position model. The record is from RNAcentral.